CCAAUGGGCUGGUCUGUAAUCUUAAUGGGCAGUACAGAGUUAUGUGCGUUCACUGUAAGGGCAGACCAACAAGAAUGUUUUUCUACUUUGAACCACUUCUCUUUAAUAGGGGUGAUUCUUUUAAUUGCCAGGGAAAAAUUGUGGCAGCUGGAGUGAGAGUAGGAAUGGGGAAGAAAAAAAAAAAGACUAAUGG
RNAcentral lists this small nucleolar RNA (193 nucleotides) under Castor canadensis (American beaver). Lineage: Eukaryota; Metazoa; Chordata; Mammalia; Rodentia; Castoridae. The record is from RNAcentral.